UGGUCAAGCAAAAAAGAGCGCAGGGUGGAUGCUUGGCACUAAGAGCCGAUGAAAGACGUGAUAAGCUGCGAAAAGCUGCGGGGAGGAGCAAAUAUCCACUGAUCCGCAGAUGUCUGAAUGGGGAAACCCGCAUGAGCAAC
Molecule: ribosomal RNA, 140 nt
Filed under: Roseburia inulinivorans
Lineage: Bacteria; Bacillati; Bacillota; Clostridia; Lachnospirales; Lachnospiraceae
Description: partial 23S ribosomal RNA
Rfam family: Bacterial large subunit ribosomal RNA
Source: RNAcentral